This 397-nucleotide ribosomal RNA is filed under the name uncultured bacterium. RNAcentral's name for it is "partial 16S ribosomal RNA". It matches the Rfam family "Bacterial small subunit ribosomal RNA", at positions 523 to 918 of the family's 1533-position model. The record is from RNAcentral.
AUACGUAGGGGGCGAGCGUUGUCCGGAAUGAUUGGGCGUAAAGGGCGUGUAGGCGGCGCGGUAAGUCUGGAGUGAAAGUCCAGCUUUCAAGGUGGGAAUUGCUUUGGCUCCUGCCGCGCUUGAGUGCAGGAGAGGUUAUCGGAAUUCCCGGUGUAGCGGUGAAAUGCGUAGAGAUCGGGAGGAACACCAGUGGCGAAGGCGGGUAACUGGACUGCAACUGACGCUGAGGCGCGAAAGUGUGGGGAGCAAACAGGAUUAGAUACCCCGGUAGUCCACACUGUAAACGAUGAAUGCUAGGUGUAAGAGGUAUCGACCCCUUUUGUGCCGGAGUCAACACAAUAAGCAUUCCGCCUGGGGAGUACGGCCGCAAGGUUGAAACUCAAAGGAAUUGGCGGGG